AGACAGGCAAUUUUAUAGAGGACAAUACGGUUAUAUCAAUAAACAGUUUAAUUAUGUAAAUGUACAGCUAAUGAUCCAUAAAUUUAGCACGUAGUGUAAAUUUACAGCAUUUAACAAUAAACCUGUUUGUUCCUGAAAAUAUGUCUGGUGCUGUAAAAAGAAGCACAGAGGGGAGGGUCAGUCUUCAACGCGAGUCCUCAUUUCUCUACGGAAAGUGGAUAAGGAAAUUUCUUCACUUCACAUCUCCUCUUACGGUCCUGCGUAUACUUUGGGUGCUAAAAAAGGACACUGUUGAAGCAAGCCAGAGGCGACGGUGGCGAAGAAAAACUCCCCGAGACGAUAUGAGGAAGAAACCUUGAGAGGAACCAGGCUCAAAAGGGAAACCAUGUGGGGCCAUCCUCGGCAACCGCGAGUGAUUUCCAAGUGAUGAGAAUUUCAACCAGAGUAAGCGGUAUAGAAGAUGGAUGGAUGGAUGUUUCUUGCAGGUGAUUAUAAGAAACAUAACUUUAAAUGAGUUUCAACUACCAGGCUCAAGAGAGUUGCAUGGGUG
This is a long non-coding RNA of Ictalurus punctatus (channel catfish), 550 nucleotides long. NCBI's taxonomy places the organism in Eukaryota, Metazoa, Chordata, Actinopteri, Siluriformes, Ictaluridae. The record is from Ensembl.